GAUGAACGCUGGCGGCGUGCCUAAUACAUGCAAGUCGAGCGAACGGACGAGAAGCUUGCUUCUCUGAUGUUAGCGGCGGACGGGUGAGUAACACGUGGAUAACCUACCUAUAAGACUGGGAUAACUUCGGGAAACCGGAGCUAAUACCGGAUGAUAUUUUGAACCGCAUGGUUCAAAAGUGAAAGACGGUCUUGCUGUCACUUAUAGAUGGAUCCGCGCUGCAUUAGCUAGUUGGUAAGGUAACGGCUUACCAAGGCAACGAUGCAUAGCCGACCUGAGAGGGUGAUCGGCCACACUGGAACGUGGACACGGUCCAGACUCCUACGGGAGGCAGCAGUAGGGAAUCUUCCGCAAUGGGCGAAAGCCUGACGGAGCAACGCCGCGUGAGUGAUGAAGGUCUUCGGAGCGUAAAACUCUGUUAUUAGGGAAGAACAUAUGUGUAAGUAACUGUGCACAUCUUGACGGUACCUAAUCAGAAAGCCACGGCUAACUACGUG
This 497-nucleotide ribosomal RNA is filed under the name uncultured bacterium. RNAcentral describes it as "partial 16S ribosomal RNA". It matches the Rfam family "Bacterial small subunit ribosomal RNA", at positions 28 to 507 of the family's 1533-position model. The record is from RNAcentral.